AGAGUUUGAUCCUGGCUCAGGACGAACGCUGGCGGCAUGCCUAACACAUGCAAGUCGAACGGACUCAAUGGAAUAGCUUGCUAGGAAAUUGAGUUAGUGGCGGACGGGUGAGUAACACGUGGAUAACCUGCCUGUGACACCGGGACAACACUGUGAAAACGGUGCUAAUACCGGAUACGUUCCAGAGGCCGCAUGGUCUUUGGAAGAAAGAUUUAUCGGUCACAGAUGGAUCCGCGGCUGAUUAGCUAGUUGGUGGGGUAACGGCCUACCAAGGCGACGAUCAGUAGCCGGCCUGAGAGGGUGAACGGCCACACUGGGACUGAGACACGGCCCCGACUCCUACGGGAGGCAGCAGCAGGGAGUUUUGCGCAAUGGGCGAAAGCCUGACGCAGCAACACCGCGUGAGGGAAGAAGGCCUUCGGGUUGUAAACCUCUUUUCUCAGGGAAGAAUAAUGACGGUACCUGAGGAAUAAGUCACGGCUAACUACGUGCCAGCAGCUGCGGUAAUACGUAGGUGGCAAGCGUUAUCCGGAUUCACUGGGCGUAAAGAGCGCGUAGGUGGUCCUUCAAGUCAGAUGUUAAAUCUCCCGGCUUAACUGGGAGCUGUCAUCUGAUACUGCUGGACUUGAGGGCGGUAGAGGGAGGUGGAAUUCCCGGUGUAGUGGUGAAAUGCGUAGAUAUCGGGAGGAAUACCAGUGGCGAAAGCGGCCUCCUAGGCCGUUCCUGACACUGAGGCGCGAAAGCGUGGGGAGCGAACAGGAUCAGAUACCCUGGUAGUCCACGCCCUAAACUGUGGAAACUAGGUACAGGGAGUAUCGACCCUUCCUGCGCCGCAGCUAACGCGUUAAGUUUCCCGCCUGGGGACUACGGUCGCAAGACUAAAACUCAAAUGAAUUGACGG
Molecule: ribosomal RNA, 901 nt
Filed under: uncultured bacterium
Lineage: Bacteria
Description: bacterial SSU rRNA
Rfam family: Bacterial small subunit ribosomal RNA
Source: RNAcentral